RNAcentral lists this ribosomal RNA (335 nucleotides) under Kineococcus sp. RNAcentral's name for it is "bacterial SSU rRNA". It matches the Rfam family "Bacterial small subunit ribosomal RNA", at positions 86 to 422 of the family's 1533-position model. The record is from RNAcentral. Lineage: Bacteria; Bacillati; Actinomycetota; Actinomycetes; Kineosporiales; Kineosporiaceae.
GGGUGAUCAGUGGCGAACGGGUGAGUAACACGUGAGCAACCUGCCCCUGGCUCUGGGACAACCACUGGAAACGGUGGCUAAUACCGGAUACGACCCGCNNNGGCAUCNNNUGUGGGUGGAAAGUUUUUCGGCUGGGGAUGGGCUCGCGGCCUAUCAGCUUGUUGGUGGGGUGAUGGCCUACCAAGGCGACGACGGGUAGCCGGCCUGAGAGGGCGACCGGCCACACUGGGACUGAGACACGGCCCAGACUCCUACGGGAGGCAGCAGUGGGGAAUAUUGCACAAUGGGCGAAAGCCUGAUGCAGCGACGCCGCGUGAGGGAUGACGGCCUUCGGG